Molecule: small RNA, 141 nt
Filed under: bovine gut metagenome
Description: Clostridiales-1 RNA
Rfam family: Clostridiales-1 RNA
Source: RNAcentral
AAGUAAAAUAUUGAUCCGUAUGCUUGCAUACCGGAUCAAUAUUUUAUUUGACGCGUAAACGGCAUAAGCAUGUAGCGCGAAUAGCGCGGAAUGCGAAUGCCGUUUAGGAUUGCGGGAGCGCGCCAGCGCGAAGCAAUCCGC